This 77-nucleotide transfer RNA is filed under the name Planctomycetota bacterium. Its description in RNAcentral is "tRNA-Arg". It matches the Rfam family "tRNA". Rfam says of the family: Transfer RNA (tRNA) molecules are approximately 80 nucleotides in length. Lineage: Bacteria; Pseudomonadati; Planctomycetota. The record is from RNAcentral.
GCACCCGUAGCUCAAUUGGAUAGAGCAUCUGACUACGGAUCAGAAGGUUGCUAGUUCGACUCUAGCCGGGUGUACCA